CAGGUAGGAAUACCCCGCUGAACUUAAAGCAUAUCAAUAAAGCGGAAGGAAAAAG
Molecule: ribosomal RNA, 55 nt
Filed under: Colletotrichum dematium
Lineage: Eukaryota; Fungi; Ascomycota; Sordariomycetes; Glomerellales; Glomerellaceae
Description: partial 28S ribosomal RNA
Source: RNAcentral